UCAGACACCUAUCAAAGCGGUCCCUGUUCUUUUGUAGAAGUCACGGUCAAAAGAAUGGCAAAAACAUAACUUUCACCGACGGUGGCAGUGCAGUUCGGCAAUAACUGAUUCAGGGGAAAGAUACCU
Molecule: small nucleolar RNA, 126 nt
Organism: Oncorhynchus kisutch (coho salmon)
Lineage: Eukaryota; Metazoa; Chordata; Actinopteri; Salmoniformes; Salmonidae
Source: Ensembl